CCUACGGGUGGCAGCAGUGAGGAAUAUUGGUCAAUGGCCGGAAGGCUGAACCAGCCAAGUCGCGUGAGGGACGACUGCCCUAUGGGUUGUAAACCUCUUUUAUAAGGGAAGAAUAAAUGCUACGUGUAGCAUGCUGCCUGUACCUUCUGAAUAAGCAUCGGCUAACUCCGUGCAAGCAGCCGCGGUAGUACGGGGGAUGCGAGCGUAAUCCGGAUUUAUUGGGUUUAAAGGGUGCGUAGGCGGUGUUUUAAGUUAGUGGUUAAACGUCGGGGCUUCACCUUGAUUUGCCAUUAAUACUUUAAGACCAGAGUUCAGCCGAGGUAGGCGGAAUAAGUUAAGUAGCGGUGAAAUGCUUAGAUAUAACUUAGAACUCCGAUAGCGAAGGCAGCUUACCAGACUGCGACUGACGCUGAAGCACGAGAGCGUGGGUAGCGAACAGGAUUAGAUACCCGGGUAGUC
This 459-nucleotide ribosomal RNA is filed under the name uncultured bacterium. Its description in RNAcentral is "partial 16S ribosomal RNA". It matches the Rfam family "Bacterial small subunit ribosomal RNA", at positions 338 to 795 of the family's 1533-position model. The record is from RNAcentral.